This 448-nucleotide ribosomal RNA is filed under the name uncultured bacterium. Its description in RNAcentral is "partial 16S ribosomal RNA". It matches the Rfam family "Bacterial small subunit ribosomal RNA", at positions 356 to 794 of the family's 1533-position model. The record is from RNAcentral.
UGGGAAUAUUGGCACAAUGGGCGCAAGGCCUGAUGCAGCCAUGCCGCGUGUGUGAAGAAGGCCUUCGGGUUGUAAAGCACUUUCAGCGAGGAGGAAGGUGGUGAACUUAAUACGUUCAUCAAUUGACGUUACUCGCAGAAGAAGCACCGGCUAACUCCGUGCCAGCAGCCGCGGUAAUACGGAGGGUGCAAGCGUUAAUCGGAAUUACUGGGCGUAAAGCGCACGCAGGCGGUUUGUUAAGUCAGAUGUGAAAUCCCCGGGCUCAACCUGGGAACUGCAUUUGAAACUGGCAAGCUAGAGUCUCGUAGAGGGGGGUAGAAUUCCAGGUGUAGCGGUGAAAUGCGUAGAGAUCUGGAGGAAUACCGGUGGCGAAGGCGGCCCCCUGGACGAAGACUGACGCUCAGGUGCGAAAAGCGUGGGGAGCAAACAGAUUAGAUACCCUGGUAGU